Long non-coding RNA from Syzygium oleosum, 425 nucleotides. RefSeq lists it as uncharacterized. The transcript is spliced from 2 exons. The record is from RefSeq and is a predicted model, not a curated record. NCBI's taxonomy places the organism in Eukaryota, Viridiplantae, Streptophyta, Magnoliopsida, Myrtales, Myrtaceae.
GAUGCCAAGAAGGGCAUGACCAUAUGGACCGGCACAAGCACACCCGCCUCUCGCUUGAAUGCCAAAGAGGUCAUUGAGGAGAGUGGCAACAAAAGGUCCAUGGAGAGGCUUGUCCCUUUCGUUCCCCGUUUCUCCCCACAGGUUGAUGGGGGAGAUGAUCCAAGCUGAUAGAGAACCUUGCUCAUGAGCAGGAUUCCUGGAGACCCAGGUCCACCAAGGAACUUGUGCACACUCAGGAAGAUCGCAUCAUAACCGUCGACUUCCCCCGAUCUCAUGUCGAUUUCCACAUAAGGUGCACUGUUCAAAAUUAAGCAAUAAAAGGCCAGUUAGAUUAGUCGUUUCGUUACAUUUUCUCAGUAAGUGCAAACGGUUUGUUAUUAUUGGAUUAUCUAUUUAAAUAAGGAGUUCUCCAGUUGAGCCAGAAA